GAGCAUCAAUAGGUUUCAUUAUUGUUAAUUUGAAUAGAAUAGAAUAUGUUGUAAUUAAUUUGGGCUCACUUUAGGGUCCCAAAUAGAAAAGAUAGGCUAGAAUAAGGUGCCUUUAGCAUAAUAGGGGGUGUAGGUAUCAUUUUAGCUUGUUCCUAGCCUUUUAGGAAGGCAAUUUGACCUAGUUUUUAAAAGGACAAGCCUAGGAUGCGAGUUUGACUUAGUCAAACCCUAAGGUUGCCCAUUUUUCC
Molecule: long non-coding RNA, 248 nt
Filed under: Phaseolus vulgaris (common bean)
Lineage: Eukaryota; Viridiplantae; Streptophyta; Magnoliopsida; Fabales; Fabaceae
Description: long non-coding RNA (PVUL_LNC000588)
Source: RNAcentral